UGUAGGUUUAACAAGUUCAUUCGGCUACCUGUUGUAGUAUACCAUGGCAAGAAUCUUAAACUUACUACCUUACCAGCCAUUGAAUCUGCUUAAGACAUGACAUCUACCCGAAAUCGCUUGGUAUGAGAGACGUUCAUUCUACCGGUUAUAGAAGACGAUGUGAAGAUCUUGAAGUACCUUACCAUACUCUGCUCCACUCAUGCUAUAAGCAUAAGACUUGAAAUCUUGACAAAAUCAUGCAGAUGGCACCUACUAACAGCGGAUGUUACAGGCAAAGCCUCCUAGUAAUUGAAUACAUUAAUGUGCAUACAAUUACUGCUUCAGGUGAUGUCCUGAUUGGGGGCGGGGCUUACCCUCACAGAAUCUCUUAGGUGGCUUCAGAUACCGAUGUGCUUCCAGAUACUGCAGCAAAUUCCGUGGACUUUCACAUCAAAAUUGCACUAAAUCUUUCCCAAAUUACUACAAGUGGGUUAGCAAGUCUAUGGGAAUGUAUAGUUUAUGUCAGUUCUUUGCUAAUAUACAGGGAGAACUGUUUCUUGUCAGACAUACAUAUUUCCUUUAUAACUAUGCGGUAGGAAUAUAUACAGUAUAUGCUGGACUGGUCUUACUGCUAUAUACUGUAGUGUUCACAUACAUAUACAGAUCGGACUUCUGUUGUUAAUAAGUUCCUUCCCUCAGGAUCUAUAAAUGCACUUGAUACCUUUUUUUAUGAUUUCUCUUCCUUCCUGCCUUUUUCUCUUUAUAUAGAUGAAUAACCUGUGAGGUGACUUAACCCCUUAAGGACCACGGAUGUAAAUGUACGUCCUGGUUUGGCGGUACUUCGCACACCAGGACGUACAUUUAUGUCCUGUGUAUGACCGCGAGCAUCGGAACAGUGCUCGCGUCAUGCACGGCAGGUUCCGGCUGCUAGCAGCCCGUAAUGGCCAACAUCCACAAUCGCACGGAUGUCCACCAUUAACCCCUCAGAUAGCGUAAUCAAUACAGAUCACGGCAUCUGUGGCAGUGCAGUACUUUAAAUGGAUGAUCUGAUCAUACAGCAUGGCGGCCGGAGGUCCCCUCACCUGGCUCCAGCCGUCUCCCUGGGUAUUCUGCUCUGGUCUGAGAUUGAGCAGACCAGAGCAGAAGAUCACCGAUCAUACUGAUUGGUGCUUUAUCCAAUGCAUAGCACUGAACAGUAUUAGCAAUCAAAUGAUUGCUAUAGAUAGUCCCCUAUGGGGACAUAAAAAGUGUAAAAAAAAAAAGUGUGAAAACUCCCCUCCCCCAAUAAAAAUGAAAAUUGUCAGUUUUUCCCAUUUUACCCCCCAAAAAGCCUAAUUUUUUAUAAACAUAUUUUUAUUGCCGCGUGCAUAAAUGUACGAACUAUCAAAAUAUAAUGUUAAUGAUCCCGAACAGCGAAAACGUAAAAAAUAAAGUUAAAAAAAUGCAGCUUUUUUGUCACAUUUUAUUCCCAUAAAAAUUAAUAAACUAUCCAAAAGUUUUAUAUAUGCAUAUGUGGUAUCAAUAAAAAGUACAGAUGACGGCGCAAAAAAAUAGCCCUCACACCACCCUAUAUACGGAAAAAUGAAAAAGUUAUAGGUGGUCAAAAUAGGGCAAUUUUAGAUUACUGAUUUUGUACAAAAAGUUUUUUAGAUUUUUUUAAAGCAGUACAAAAAUAUAAAAGUAUCUAGCCAUGGGUAUCAUUUUAAUCGUAUUGACCUACAGAAUAAAGAACAUGUUGUUUUACGUAAAGUGUACAGUGUGAAAAUGAAACUCUCCAAAAUGUGCAAAAUUGUGGUUUUCAUAAAAAAAAUUUUUUGGGGGGGUUCGCUGUACAUUUUAUGGUAAAAUGAGAGGUUUCAUUACAAAGUACAAUUGGUCAGGCAAAAAAGCCCUUAUAUGGGUUUAGAUGGAAAUAUAAUAGAGUUAUGGAUUUUAGAAGGCGAGGAGGAAAAAAACAAACGUAAAAAUAAAAUUGGCCUGGAUCUUAAGGUGAAAAUGUGUUUGGUCCUUAAGGGGUUA
This is a long non-coding RNA of Hyla sarda, 1998 nucleotides long. RefSeq lists it as uncharacterized. The record is from RefSeq and is a predicted model, not a curated record. The transcript is spliced from 3 exons. NCBI's taxonomy places the organism in Eukaryota, Metazoa, Chordata, Amphibia, Anura, Hylidae.